RNAcentral lists this ribosomal RNA (465 nucleotides) under Vreelandella stevensii. RNAcentral describes it as "partial 16S ribosomal RNA". It matches the Rfam family "Bacterial small subunit ribosomal RNA", at positions 338 to 795 of the family's 1533-position model. Lineage: Bacteria; Pseudomonadati; Pseudomonadota; Gammaproteobacteria; Oceanospirillales; Halomonadaceae. The record is from RNAcentral.
CCUACGGGUGGCAGCAGUGGGGAAUAUUUGACAAUGGGGGCAACCCUGAUCCAGCCAUGCCGCGUGUGUGAAGAAGGCCCUCGGGUUGUAAAGCACUUUCAGUGAGGAAGAACGCCUGGUGGUUAAUACCCAUCAGGAAAGACAUCACUCACAGAAGAAGCACCGGCUAACUCCGUGCCAGCAGCCGCGGUAAUACGGAGGGUGCGAGCGUUAAUCGGAAUUACUGGGCGUAAAGCGCGCGUAGGUGGCUUGAUAAGCCGGUUGUGAAAGCCCCGGGCUCAACCUGGGAACGGCAUCCGGAACUGUCAAGCUAGAGUGCAGGAGAGGAAGGUAGAAUUCCCGGUGUAGCGGUGAAAUGCGUAGAGAUCGGGAGGAAUACCAGUGGCGAAGGCGGCCUUCUGGACUGACACUGACACUGAGGUGCGAAAGCGUGGGUAGCAAACAGGAUUAGAUACCCCAGUAGUC